AAAUUUUGCAUUCAUUCAAUCGGCUAAAGCAUGGCAAGUAAUAGUAAUCAAAGUAGGAACAGACUUUCGUAGCUAGAGGUUCCUUCAACACAGUAAAGUAAAAGAAACUUUCUGUUUGAGAAAUAAAAAUCGAGAUCCGCAUUUAAAACGGCAAACAUCGAAUAAAAACCUUGGCUUAGGACCAAAAAAAAACUCAGCUUGAACAAACCUCUCUAGA
This 217-nucleotide long non-coding RNA is filed under the name Nicotiana benthamiana. RNAcentral's name for it is "long non-coding RNA (NBEN_LNC030056)". Lineage: Eukaryota; Viridiplantae; Streptophyta; Magnoliopsida; Solanales; Solanaceae. The record is from RNAcentral.